RNAcentral lists this small RNA (17 nucleotides) under Arabidopsis thaliana (thale cress). Its description in RNAcentral is "ATSL105780". The record is from RNAcentral. Lineage: Eukaryota; Viridiplantae; Streptophyta; Magnoliopsida; Brassicales; Brassicaceae.
AAAAUAAUUAUAUAAAA